Molecule: long non-coding RNA, 2462 nt
Filed under: Homo sapiens (human)
Lineage: Eukaryota; Metazoa; Chordata; Mammalia; Primates; Hominidae
Description: HSALNT0088240
Source: RNAcentral
AAAAAAGGAAAUAGAGAGAAUCUGUUUGGCUUCAUUAACCAUUAUCCUGAAUAGAGGGCCUCUUUUAGGCAGGUAUUUCAGGCUCAGCCAGCUCAUUGGCUGGCGCCAUUCCUGUUCCAGUCAGCCAUGGCCAGUGGAUAGAAACACACACUACAGAACAUGGCAGCCACGCUGAGGAAGUACCUUUCACCAUGUGGUAGACACUCAGAGACUGCUCUGAAAAGGAUGGGAAUCGCUUCCUCUCUCGACUUUCCUUGACACAACUUGCUCAGGAGGAAUGCAAAGGAUGGGUGGGAUCUUCCCCAGCAUGAGAGUGAAAGGAAGCCACAUACCAAAGAGAUGACGGUGGCACAAGAAAUGCUGCAGCUGCUAAUUCCACCUCCACCCUGUGGGACAACUGCUUAGCAAUAUUUCAAAGGCAAAAACAAAGUACAGGAAAAAAGAAAAAAAAUGGAUUUAACAACUUCCUUGACUGGAGGUCUGGAUAAGAGUGGAGCACAUUUUAAAGUGGACUUUAUGGCAGAAAUACAUGUGGCUUUACAGACAUCUGUGCCUGGGAUUCACAGAGCCCAAGUGUACAUUUGUACAUGAAGCACAAUCAGCUAUUCAAGGCAUUUGGCAAGAAACUGGAAUAUUGAUGCCAUUUCAAUAUAAUACGUGUUCAUCUCCUGUGCAUCACUAAUGCCAGUUUUACCAGAAAGCUGUAGCUGAGAAUUCCAUCCAGAAUUCUUUCUGCCAUUCUUCAUUACCAGUGCUUGAAAGGGCAGUGUCCUCCUGCUGAACUUUUAAAUUGUUAAUUUCAGAAAAAUACAUUCCCUUUCAGUUUUAUGUAACACACGAAGAGAAAAUGAGUUUAAGAGUGGAGACAGAGUGUCAUAUAUCAAUGGCUGGGAAACAAAAUUUAAAGAGAAUGAACUCAAGAGAUCUACAGCAUAAAGACUAUAGUUAAUAACAAUGUUUUACAUACUUAAAAAUUAAUAAGAGAAUCAAUUUGAAGUGUGUUCACCACAAAAAAAUGAUAGGUAUGUGAGGUAAUGCAUAUGUUGAUUAGCUUGAUAUAGCCAUUCCACAAUAUAUACGUAUUUCAAAACAUCAUGUUGUACAUAUAAAUAUAGUUUUUAUUUUGCAAUUUAAAAAAUUGUUCUCAUUUGACCUUUGUACUUCCCUGACUAUAUUUCUGUGUCUCUAUAUCCCAUUUAUCUGCUUGUCUGUCUAUCUUCACCUCAUUCACUUUCUCUUCCUUCAAGCUUUCACAUUGCAUGUCAUUGUUUGAUGGCUCUGCAGUCAGGAUGGACAAUUAAGAGACUGUUUCCCGAACAUCCACUAUGAGUUGGGUAGGAAUGUCUUUGAACUCAUGAAAAUUGCCAUCUGGAAGUGAAGACAAAUAUGAGACAUACUUAAAAGUGUGAUGAGUGUCAAGAAAAGAAAUACAUAGGAUACUCUGGAAUCAAAUAGCGAUAGUAACAGUAAUAACAACUAAGGUUAAUUCCAUGCUCACUAUGUACCCAGGCACUCUUCUCAGUGAUUUAUAUGUAUUAUUAAUUUUAAUGUACAUAUCACAUCCAUGAGGUAAUGUACUAUCACUUUCCAUUUUAUAGAUGUGAAAAUUAAAGCCCAGAGGGAUUAAAUACUUAAGUAUUUUUCCAAGGCUGCCCAGAUAGAAAGCGGUGCACUGUGAUUUGAACCAUGUGGUUUGGCUACUGCGCCUCUGUGCACUCUAAGUACACUCUUAUACACAAGAGAAUUUAGCUUGAUCUGCCUGGAGAAAGUGUACUACAGUUUAAAAUAAUAUUAAUACAUUUUGGGGAUUUAUUUGAGUACUCCUUUAAUAAAUGUGAGCAAAUAUUUUUCUCUUUAAAAAUUAAGGUAGAUUGAAAAUAAACAUAAAAUGCCUCUAAAUGUAAAGUAGUGGGAUCCUGGGAAAAAAUGGCUAUGAAGGAAACGCUAGUGCAAUUCACAUAAAGUGAGGCAUAAUGCAUCAAUAUCGGUUUCUCAGUUGUGACAAAUAUACAAUUGUAAGAUGUUAACAACAGGGGAAAAUGGGUAAGGAAUACACAGGGGUUCUCUGUAUUAUAAUAUCUUUGUAACUUUUCUGUAAAUCUAAAACUCUUCUGAAAUUAAAAAUUUACUUAAUCAAAAAAGAAACGAAAAGAAAAUAUCUGCUAGACUGAUCAACCCCCAUUAAGCAUGUAUUAGUUGCAAACUAAACAGUUCUCUAGAAAAGGCAACUCCUCUUUGGCACGUUCUCUCUGCUACUCAGGCAGGCAGCACGGCAGCAUCUUCAGCAUCUCACAGGGCAUCUGUGCCCAUUUGUUUCUUGGCCUCUUACCUGGUCAGGCCACGCAGAUCAUACAUUUUUGCAACACCAUCCUCUUUAACCUGUAUAUCAAUGUACUCAGCAUCAUUUCCUUGCCCUUUUCCUGUUCAGUAGAAACUGGUAGCCCUUGUCCUGAUUCCACCCA